Molecule: non-coding RNA, 491 nt
Organism: Rhinichthys klamathensis goyatoka
Lineage: Eukaryota; Metazoa; Chordata; Actinopteri; Cypriniformes; Leuciscidae
Source: the annotation of a RefSeq genome assembly
UAGCCUUCAGACUCACACACUUUAUAACACACGGCUGUUUACCACGGUACAAACCCAACACACACCAUGAAUCUCUUCAGCGGCUUCAUCUGGAUUCUGACAGCUUUUAUUCCAGCAUCCAGAGGAAUCACUGUGACUCAGCCUGAAGUUGUGACUGUUUCUGAAGGACAAAACGCCACUAUAGAGUGUAAAACUGAUGCUGGGAUAUAUAGCUGGGGUUUAGCUUGGUAUCAGCAGAAACACGGAGAAGCUCCUAAACUCAUCAUUACUGGGGUAAAUGAUCUCUAUGAUGAGAGUCUCAGUCGAUUCAGUGGGAAUGGAGAAUAUGAAGGAACAGAUUUCACUCUGAGCAUCAGUGGAGUCCAGACUGAAGAUGCUGGACAUUAUUACUGUCAGAGUUUACAUUGCAGACCAGAUUCUGAUGGUGAUUGUGCGGGUGAUUAUGUGUUCACACAGUGAUAAAGAGUCGUACAAAAACCUCCGUCAGUCAG